This is a long non-coding RNA of Diceros bicornis minor, 1417 nucleotides long. RefSeq lists it as uncharacterized. The record is from RefSeq and is a predicted model, not a curated record. The transcript has 6 exons. NCBI's taxonomy places the organism in Eukaryota, Metazoa, Chordata, Mammalia, Perissodactyla, Rhinocerotidae.
GGCCUUUGACUUCAGCUGUAUCUGAUCCUCCCUGCUGUAUACAGUUGUGCUGAUGCAGGAGCCAAUGCACUAUACUCCAAUUCAGGUCAGAGAGUGAGUUCAUGGAGAGCAGAGUCGAGUAUUAAGAAAACAUAAAGUGGAAAAAAGAAAGCAGAAAAGACCAAUGCAGAGAAGAGGAAAUGAUAAAUUGGGACUUGGUCCCAUUGCCUACUGGAUCAUAAGCUUCUUGACAGCAGGGACUCUAUCCUGGUCAUCUGUGUGCCUCUUGCAGUGUCUUACACAGGGCAUGGAUAUUUAGAAAAUCAAGUAUUAGGAGUUGCUGAUGGAGGCAAUCAAAUGACUUUUGAGGAAGAUGAUACAGAUUUUUAAAAAACAUGAAAGCUACCAGGGUAAACAGCUGAAGAAUGCUUCAUAAGAAGACACGGGAAACAAAAAGAGCUGGAAACUAUGAUUGGUUUUUGUUGUAUAUCAAGGAGAAUUGAGGAGGAUUAAGAUGCAGAGGCAAUGAAGAACAAAGAAGGCUGUAAAGUCACUCAGUAAACCUGCCCAAGUGGUAUGCAGGAGGCUGACCAUGACCCUGGCGCCUCAUAUGGCUCAGGAUUUGGCCAUGAGGGACACAUUGCCCUGUACUUCUCUUGGCGCUAUUGGGAAAGAAGUGUGCACUCUUCUGCUGGGACUCCUAACCUGGCAGUACGGAGCUGGAGCUGCUGGUGGCCAAUUUUGCCACCAUACUGGAAGGACCUGCCCGAGAAUGAAGCCAAGAAGAGGAGAACAGAUCUAAGAGGAGCAGAGCCAGAUUCCUGACUACACUGUUGAACCUUUGGAUACGGUCAUGCCAGAUGCAUUUUCAGACGUCCCAGGUACAACUACAUUCAUUCUUGUGGAAAGACGGAGGUUCUGAGAGUGGGGAGAAGGAGAGAAAGAGAGAACACUGCAGGGGAUGAAGAGUAAUAAUUAAAAAGGGGAGUCAGAGAGCAGAGAGUGAAGGGUGUAGAGGACCAAGACUGUUGCUGUCCUUCAUGGGACCAGCAGAACAUGUCCAGAUGCCACUCUGACAGCUACUUUAGGAACAAUUGGACCGAAAUCAAAGGGUGAUGGAUUAAUAUCCCCAAAUCGCCUCUGUUUUCUUCAUGUUCACAUGAUUGCUGAAAUCAAACUGAAACAAACAAGCCAACAAGAAAACUUCAUUAAACCCAAAUUUGGGGCCCACCCCGUGGCUUAGCGGUUAAGUGCGCGUGCUCUGUUACUGGUGGCCCGGGUUCAGAACCCCGGGCUCGCACCAACGCAUCGCUUCUCCGGCCGUGCUGAGGCCGCGUCCCACAUACAGCAACUAGAAGGAUGUGCAACUAUGACAUACAGCUAUCUACUGGGGCUUUGGGGGAAAAAUAAAUAAAUAAAAUUAUAAAAAAACAAACAA